RNAcentral lists this ribosomal RNA (578 nucleotides) under Rhodococcus sp. I14A-00912. RNAcentral's name for it is "bacterial SSU rRNA". It matches the Rfam family "Bacterial small subunit ribosomal RNA", at positions 95 to 687 of the family's 1533-position model. Lineage: Bacteria; Bacillati; Actinomycetota; Actinomycetes; Mycobacteriales; Nocardiaceae. The record is from RNAcentral.
GCGGCGAACGGGUGAGUAACACGUGGGUGAUCUGCCCUGCACUUCGGGAUAAGCCUGGGAAACUGGGUCUAAUACCGGAUAUGACCUCCUAUCGCAUGGUGGGUGGUGGAAAGAUUUAUCGGUGCAGGAUGGGCCCGCGGCCUAUCAGCUUGUUGGUGGGGUAAUGGCCUACCAAGGCGACGACGGGUAGCCGACCUGAGAGGGUGACCGGCCACACUGGGACUGAGACACGGCCCAGACUCCUACGGGAGGCAGCAGUGGGGAAUAUUGCACAAUGGGCGAAAGCCUGAUGCAGCGACGCCGCGUGAGGGAUGACGGCCUUCGGGUUGUAAACCUCUUUCAGCAGGGACGAAGCGCAAGUGACGGUACCUGCAGAAGAAGCACCGGCUAACUACGUGCCAGCAGCCGCGGUAAUACGUAGGGUGCAAGCGUUGUCCGGAAUUACUGGGCGUAAAGAGUUCGUAGGCGGUUUGUCGCGUCGUUUGUGAAAACCAGCAGCUCAACUGCUGGCUUGCAGGCGAUACGGGCAGACUUGAGUACUGCAGGGGAGACUGGAAUUCCUGGUGUAGCGGUGAAAU